RNAcentral lists this long non-coding RNA (352 nucleotides) under Chinchilla lanigera (long-tailed chinchilla). RNAcentral's name for it is "lncRNA (ENSCLAG00000025666.1)". Lineage: Eukaryota; Metazoa; Chordata; Mammalia; Rodentia; Chinchillidae. The record is from RNAcentral.
GGAAGGUUUCCUACCCAAAGCUCCACCCCAAACUCUGAGUUUCAUUUCCCUGCCACCUGGAAAGUAUGUUCUCGGAGUUGGCCCUCUCUGUUUUCCAGGCACACUAUCAGCUCCAACAGGCCACCUGUGCUUGACUUGCUAAUGCUUUUCAUAGGGUAAGAGAGAAAAUUCUGGCACUAUAUGAUGUUUUCCGCUGCAAGUGGAUUGUACUGUUGAUCACAGGAUUUGCUGCCCUAGCCGUGGGAGGAUUAUGUAUCCCCAUCACAUUGAUGUGUGGUUUGCUUUUGGUCAAUGACAGGUGAGUAGGAAUGAAAAGUGUUUCUGGUGACCACAAGUGAUGUGUGUUACUUCU